Canis lupus familiaris (dog) is the source of this 357-nucleotide long non-coding RNA. RefSeq lists it as uncharacterized. The transcript is spliced from 3 exons. Lineage: Eukaryota; Metazoa; Chordata; Mammalia; Carnivora; Canidae. The record is from RefSeq and is a predicted model, not a curated record.
AAUAUAUAUAUGCACAACUAUCAUGUCAGAGUAAUAGCCUAAAAUUAAUUACACUCUACUAAAAUUUGCCAUUUGAAAAUAUCCAUGCUUUUAAAAAAAGAAAAUUCUAUGAUUCUAAAAAUCCACAGAAGAGGAAACAGUAGGCUAUGAAUUCCCUGAGGCUCCUUCUCCACCUGUUUGCUGCACACCCGUGCCUGGUGCAUGGGUACUUAAUAAACACUUGAGACAUCCAUCAUGCACAGAAUAUGAAGACUCCCUAUUUUAAGAGGCUUCACCAAGAAGAGGCACCAACUGUACUUUCAAGAGUGAAUUCUGGAUAAAUGUUAAAAAUAAUAAUACCUAAAGUAAAUAACAAAC